This is a long non-coding RNA of Triticum aestivum (bread wheat), 2919 nucleotides long. RefSeq lists it as uncharacterized. The transcript is spliced from 4 exons. The record is from RefSeq and is a predicted model, not a curated record. NCBI's taxonomy places the organism in Eukaryota, Viridiplantae, Streptophyta, Magnoliopsida, Poales, Poaceae.
GCGAUUCAUCUGUUUCAUCUUAUCCAGACUCCCCGUCCUCGCGGCGCUUUACCUCGCGGCGCUCCGCUCCGCCCCGCCCCGCCCACCUCCUGCUACGCCCCUCGCGCCGCCGGCCGCCUCCUGCCCCGCUCCGCCCCUCACCACGCGCCGCCGGCCUUCUCCUGCCUCCCAAUCCCAUCUCGCGGCUUUCUUCGCCGUUCACCGCUCCCCUCCACCUACUGGUCGCGACCUCGUGGGAGGCAGAGGAUGGGAGGGUGCGGCGCUGGCGUCCGACUCCAGGAGCUCGAGAGGGCCGAUCUGCGCGUCGGCGACCUCGCGGGAGGCAUGGCGUGGCGUGUUGCGCUCGAGACGAGCGGGCUCGAGUAAGGGGAUUGGAGGGUGGCGCCGGCGGGAUCGUGGACGGGGAUGGAGUGGGCGGGUGCCGGCAAGAUCGAGGCCGGGGAUGGAGAGGGCGGUCGGCGAGCUGGCGGCUGAGGAUGGAAGAGGCGGCACUAAUUCUCUGCUACCCGCACCGCACCACGUCCCUAGCUUCCUCCUCUCUGAUCGAACCGAGUCCGUUUUACAAAGGGAUCCGGCGACUAGAGGGGAGCUGCCACCGGUGACGCUGCCGGAGAAGCUGGCGAGGUUCCUCCAGAAGUGCGCCGAAGGAGUUCCAGAACGAGCCCCGGUAUAGCGGCGACCGGUGGUACCUUCGCGGCUGGGUUCCAGAUGAACAGGCAUGGUGGGAGGGCGAUGCUCUGUUGACUGCUUUUCUUAUAAUAUUACAGAGGGAGGAUCGAAGUGGAGAUUGGUACUUUCCCUUUCAGCGGCCAAAGAAAAGCAACACUUUUUCAUGUGAUUUCAGAUGAAACGACCAGAGUGUGUAAAAUCUGGAUCGCUACAAACAGGUCAAGAAUAACUUCUCCAAGCUCUCAGAAGAGAAGCAAUAAUGUGACUCCCAGGUGCCUCUCUGAGAGAAAAGCUGGAGAUGCUUUGCCAGUGGCAAAACAAAGGGAAGUAAUUGCUACGGACGCCAGCCAGGUGUUCAUGCUAUUGGAUUAAUGUUUUCUGCUCUUAAUAAUGCUUCCGUUUUUCUUCUUUUAGAACCCUUCUUUUGUACUCUUACAAAUAGCAGAUGAAAGGAGAAGGAUGAAGAAGUCAAGCUAUUGGAGAGAUCAAUUGAGGAGCUCAAAAUAACUUUAGUGUUCUCAAAAGUAGCUUUAUUUAGUUUGAGUGAAUUUUGUGGCCUAAGUGUUGUAGCUAUUCAUUUUGCCACGCAUUCUGAAUGUUAGUACACACCCAUGUUGGUACAGAACUCCUAUUGUUAUGCCUGUCAUGACAACAACUUUUCCAGAUUUUUGUGCAUAAACAUACAUAUGUGGACUAAAUUCUUUUGUUACUUGCUCAGCCAAUACAUAUGUAUGCUCUUUUUUUUGCGGGUGAAUACAUAUGUAUGCUAAUAUAGUUAUUGGUGUUAUGAUAUUGGUUGAGUCAAUUAUACCAUUUACAAUAUUCAAAUAGGCUUUGAGUUUGGUAUAUGCAAAAUGUUUACAAACUAUUAACGUCUAAGUGAUAACUAAUAAAAAAAAUAUGCAUCGUGCAUUCAUCCAUCUAUGGUAACUAUGCAAGCAUGCAUGACUAACAUUUGUUUUUCAAAUUUUCAAUCAUUUUUCUCAAGAAUUGUCCUUCUUAUCUCGGAUGAGAUAUAUUGAUGCAUUCCUAUAUUUUCAUAUACUUCUAAUCCCUGAAAACACAAGACAAAUCCUAAAAGAAGUUACUUUUUGUAAUUAAAAUUGCUAGCAAUGACCUUUUUGUUUUACGCUAUUAAAUAUCUUAUGAUCUGAACAUCAUGCACCUGCCUGGAAACACAUAUUAGCAUUGACCAGUGAAUUUUCACUAAGAAAAGAGAGCCGGAUAUUUUUCUCCCGUUGCAACGCACGGGCCUUUUUGCUAGUCUCUCUCUAAUAAUAAAGCACAGAUUGACUUUGUCGGGUUCACCGUCACAAUACGCUUCUUUCCAUAAGUUUAUGCUUUCACUGGGAAUUUAAAACAUAUACACGUGGUACUGAUAAAAUUUGGUACGUCGUCGUUCCCGUUCGCUCGUCCAAAAAUCCCCAUCACGAUCUGAAAAUCCCCAUUGCCGUGAGGCUCCACCUAACCCACCUCCAUCCCCUGGCUUCGGCGCGCCUCCCGCCGACGGCCCUCCCAACCCCAACGCGCCUCACGUCAUCGUCGCCCGGCACCGGCCCCGGCAUGCCUCCCACCACCGGCGCCCAUCCCCCGACGUGCCUCUCCAUCCCCAGCACGCCCCCACCAUCAGACCUCGGCUGGCGACCGCAUCCCCUGGCUCGGCUGCACGUGACCGGGAUCCCCCAUCUCCCAGGAAACCUCGCUGGUGCACGCCACCUCCCUCCUCCUAAGGUUGGGAGCGGUGUGAACUUUGAACGGAUCAGUGGUUGGACCAUCAGCAGUUAACUGCACCAACACGACUGACGCCACCUCGCACGCCUUCGUCUUCGUCGACGGCGGUCAGCACCUCCAACGCAAAUCGAUUCAGCGCCGUCUGUGCAUGGCUCGGCUCAUGCGCUCUGCUGCUGCCACGGGACCCAGUGCACCUCCCGUCCUCUGCUUUUCUCCGUGCGGAACUGUCUGUCUCGUGUCACUGCUUGCACCUGCUACUGCUGGGAAUACGCUGUCCCGCGACGCCCUGUACUCAAUCUGUACCCGUGCUCUCUCUGGUCUCACGAACCAUCCCUACGGCCGCAAAGCUUCUCUUAGACCGGCCGCCAUGCAUCAAACUGAACUGCUGAGUUCAUUCCCCCAAAGUCCUGCAGAGCUUAUAGUAAAGAGGCGUACCCCGAUCUCCUCCGUUACUUAACAAUAUGGUGUGCUUUCUGAUGGAACGGACUCGUAGUAAACUAGGCAAAAAAUCUCAUGUUU